AACCCUCUGAAACUUCCUAGCAAAUUUGAUAGCAGCUUCAUUUGCUUCAGUUCCAGAGUUUGUGAACAAGACACGAUCAGCAAAAGAACAAGCCACCAGACGUUUUGCAAGCUCUACCUGAGGGAUUGAAUAGUAGACGUUACUAACAUGCGUAAGCAAAUUGGCUUGCUCUGUGACCGCCCGAACCCAAUCGGGAUCCCCGUGGCCGAGGGCGUUAACUGCAAUACCGGACGUGCAGUCCAAAUAUUCUCUUCCUUCAGGAUCAUACAAUUUACAACCUUUGCCAUGGGCGAGCACCAAAGGGUUCCUUACAUAAGUCCCCACCAGGACCUUCGCCUCCAUCUCCAUCACCUCCUUACUCUUCAAAUUCAGCUUCACAGAAUCCG
RNAcentral lists this unclassified non-coding RNA (386 nucleotides) under Hevea brasiliensis (rubber tree). Lineage: Eukaryota; Viridiplantae; Streptophyta; Magnoliopsida; Malpighiales; Euphorbiaceae. The record is from RNAcentral.